RNAcentral lists this ribosomal RNA (590 nucleotides) under Physarum stellatum. RNAcentral's name for it is "SSU rRNA". It matches the Rfam family "Eukaryotic small subunit ribosomal RNA", at positions 20 to 495 of the family's 1831-position model. The record is from RNAcentral. Lineage: Eukaryota; Evosea; Eumycetozoa; Physariida; Physaraceae.
GUAGUGUAUGCUUCUCCUAAAGACUAAGCCAUGCAUGCUUGAAUAGAAGACAUCAAAUCUCUCUGAAUCUGCGAACGGCUCCGCAAACCAGUUGUAAACCAUAGCAAGCACCCCAGGACUGGGGUCGCCUCCUUUUUCCGGGGAGGGGAUCUUGGAUCCUGGGUUUAUAUGGAUAUCCAUGGUAAUUCUGAGGCUAAUACAAGAACGUUACCACCUGACUGACCAGGUCCGGGAAAUCCCGCUGGGAUGUCGGGGAUUGUGUGAUAGAAUUGCACCACCUUAUGGCGGUGACUCGGUGCACAGUCAGACCACUAUACCAAACGAUCUUGGUACUUCGUGAGGGCCCCCGGGUGACUUGGGGUGAGUGCGCGGUCCUUGAUUCGGGUGGCUCUUGCUUCGUGCUUCUGACCUAUCAACUAGAUUGCAGCGUAAGGGACAUGCUAUGGUUACAACGGGUACAGAGGAUAAGGGUUCGAUCCUGGAGAGUGGGCCUGAGAGAUUGCUCACACUUCUAAGGAAGGCAGCAGGCGCGUAACGUUCCCAAUGGGUAAACCUGAGGGCGUUAGGGGACAUAUGAAUGCCCGCCAUUA